RNAcentral lists this transfer RNA (89 nucleotides) under Actinoplanes octamycinicus. RNAcentral's name for it is "tRNA-Ala". Lineage: Bacteria; Bacillati; Actinomycetota; Actinomycetes; Micromonosporales; Micromonosporaceae. The record is from RNAcentral.
GGUGCUGCUGGCCGGGCCGGGACCGACCGGCUGGCAGCUCGACGACCCGGUCCUCCAACUCGGCAACGGUCCGAUUCCGAUCAGCGUCC